RNAcentral lists this ribosomal RNA (253 nucleotides) under uncultured bacterium. Its description in RNAcentral is "partial 16S ribosomal RNA". It matches the Rfam family "Bacterial small subunit ribosomal RNA", at positions 524 to 776 of the family's 1533-position model. The record is from RNAcentral.
UACGGGGGGAGCAAGCGUUGUUCGGAUUUACUGGGCGUAAAGCGUGUGUAGGCGGUCUCAUAAGUCGGAUGUGAAAGCCCCGGGCUCAACCCGGGAAGUGCAUUCGAAACUGCGAGGCUAGAGUAUCGGAGAGGUUGGUGGAAUUCUCGGUGUAGAGGUGAAAUUCGUAGAUAUCGAGAGGAACACCGGUGGCGAAGGCGGCCAACUGGACGAAUACUGACGCUGAGACACGAAAGCGUGGGGAGCAAACAGG